CCUACGGGUGGCUGCAGUGAGGAAUAUUGGUCAAUGGACGAGAGUCUGAACCAGCCACGUAGCGUGAAGGAUGACUGCCUUAUGGGUUGUAAACUUCUUUUAUAUGGGAGUAAAAUGGUCCAUGUGUGGGAUUUUGUAUGUACCAUAUGAAUAAGGAUCGGCUAACUCCGUGCCAGCAGCCGCGGUAAUACGGAGGAUGCGAGCGUUAAACGGAUUUAUUGGGUUGAAAGGGCGCGUAGGUGGAUUGUUAAGUCAGUUGUGAAAGUUUGCGGCUCAACCGUAAAAUUGCAGUUGAAACUGGCAGUCUUGAGUACAGUAGAGGUGGGCGGAAUUCGUGGUGUAGCGGUGAAAUGCUUAGAUAUCACGAAGAACUCCGAUUGCGAAGGCAGUUCACUGGACUGCAACUGACACUGAGGCUCGAAAGUGUGGGUAUCAAACAGGAUUAGAUACCCUUGUAGUC
Molecule: ribosomal RNA, 460 nt
Filed under: uncultured bacterium
Lineage: Bacteria
Description: partial 16S ribosomal RNA
Rfam family: Bacterial small subunit ribosomal RNA
Source: RNAcentral